Molecule: ribosomal RNA, 323 nt
Filed under: uncultured Actinomycetes bacterium
Lineage: Bacteria; Bacillati; Actinomycetota; Actinomycetes
Description: bacterial SSU rRNA
Rfam family: Bacterial small subunit ribosomal RNA
Source: RNAcentral
GACGAACGCUGGCGGCGUGCUUAACACAUGCAAGUCGUGCGGAAAGGCCCUUUUGGGGGUGCUCGAGCGGCGAACGGGUGAGUAACACGUGAGUGAUCUGCCCUGCACUUUGGGAUAACUGCCGGAAACGGUGGCUAAUACCGGAUAUUCACUUCUUCCUGCAUGGGGGUGGUGGAAAGCCUUUGGGUGGUGUGGGAUGUGCUCGCGGCCUAUCAGCUUGAUGGUGGGGUAAUGGCCUACCAUGGCUUUGACGGGUAGCCGGCCUGAGAGGGUGACCGGCCACACUGGGACUGAGACACGGCCCAGACUCCUACGGGAGGCUG